UAUGAUUCACAUCAGAAACAUGGCGUCGCGAAGGAAGUCUGGAAGCGGCGUUCUUGAAAAAGGUGCCAAUGGAAGACGGUCUUCAAAACUUAAAGAUGGGCCCAUAGUUACUUCCCUUUUGGUGGUUCAGGCUACUGAAGGACCUUGCAGUACAUGGAUGGUGAAUGAAAAAUGUGAAACCAAACAGUAAAUGGCAAGUGCUUCUUGGAAUGUACUGUAUACCUGUAUUGUUGCGCAUGCUGCCAGUUGUCUGUAGUGCUUCCUGUAGUUUAAUGUGCAGGUGUGAACAUUGUAGAGCGUUAUAGAGAGCUUUUGUCCUUAAAUAGGCCAGAUUGUCUGCAGAGUGCAGUAUACUGCAUCAAAACUAUGGAGUCUAAUACGUGCUAAAGCUACAAUGACUGGUUAGCUUAACCCUCUCACCCCACGCAUCCCUGUCUAUAUAUAUAUAUAUAUAUAUGCAGCAUGUCAAACCAGAGGACUACUAAAGAGAUUUGAGGCUGUGUCACUGGCAAAUUUAACGAAACAGACUGUAAAGAAUUCUGUCUUUAUUCAGUGGAAAUCAGAGACAAAUUUGAACUCUUUCAGUGGGAGGCGAAAAGCUGAGGUAAGAUAUUGAGAUAGCUGUCCAAAUUUAGCUUUUAGCUUACUGUUCUCCUCCUUUGGUGACCCAUUUCUCUCACCCAAGUAAUCUGUUAUCUUAAUUGUAUUGUUUUAAGCACAGUUUUACUGUGUAAAACAGUUGCAUGAAAGAUAUUUUGCUUCUUGGCAGUAACGUUAUCUAUCUUGCUUCCCAUCACAUUAAUACCAAUGUGAUACUUAGUUAAAAAUACUAAAUAAUAAGUUUGUUUUCUGAAAAUGUGAUUUGUGUUUGGUAAUGUUUACAGUACUGGGUAAGGUUCCUUCUGGGUUAUUUUAAGAGAACCAGAACAGAACUAAACAGUCUAUUUAAAACAAGCUGUGUCAAGUUUAUAAGAUAUUCUUCUAGCAUAUAGUACUAGUCCUCUAGAAGCAUGGAUUCUUUAUGCUAUGUAUUUAUGUAUAAUAAUUAGGCAUACAGUGUGAACAGCAAUAGAAAUGUAAAACAUACUUAAAAUCUAAUAAUUAAGCUAAGAAAUGUGGGUGAAAUUGUGUAAAUGUAGAUUUAAUAUUUGAAGUAGUUUUUGUUCUUUGUUUUUGUGGUUGGUGGUGAGGAUGGCAGUAAAAGGAAACGUGUCAUUACUUGGAUGCUGCAGGGUAUUGUUCACAGCUUCCUCUCGAACUUUGUGUGGAGUAAUAUGGGACUAAUCAGUCUCUUUGUCCUCUUUUAGUAACAAAACAUGAAGCCAGAUGCUUGGCAUACGGUUUGAAC
Long non-coding RNA from Pygocentrus nattereri (red-bellied piranha), 1348 nucleotides. The record is from Ensembl. Lineage: Eukaryota; Metazoa; Chordata; Actinopteri; Characiformes; Serrasalmidae.